Molecule: ribosomal RNA, 253 nt
Filed under: uncultured bacterium
Lineage: Bacteria
Description: partial 16S ribosomal RNA
Rfam family: Bacterial small subunit ribosomal RNA
Source: RNAcentral
UACAGAGGGUGCAAGCGUUGUUCGGAAUUAUUGGGCGUAAAGAGCUCGUAGGCGGUUUGUCGCGUCUGCUGUGAAAACUCAGGGCUUGACCCUGAGCCUGCAGUGGGUACGGGCAGACUAGAGUGUGGUAGGGGAGAUCGGAAUUCCUGGUGUAGCGGUGGAAUGCGCAGAUAUCAGGAGGAACACCGGUGGCGAAGGCGGAUCUCUGGGCCAUAACUGACGCUGAGGAGCGAAAGCAUGGGGAGCGAACAGG